ACAAAAAGAUGAGGUUAUUUCUGUUGAUAGUACAGAAUGAAUCCAUCCUGGUUGAAAACCCAUUCCCAGCUCAGCUGCCCAGGGCCCCAUUCAACCUGGCCUUGAGUGCCUCCAGGGAUGGGGCACCACAGCUUCUCUGCGCAGCUGUGCCAGUGCCUCACCACCCUGAGAGAUGCUCCAGCCCUCCAGUCAUCUUCAUGGCUCUCCUCUGGGCACUCUUCAACGGCUGAUCCUGGAAAUGCUAUCCAAAAGCUACUCAAUAUGGCAUUAAAAAUAUUUUGGUUUUGAUGGAUACUAGAAAAAGUCAAAGGCCAACUUUCUGCAGAUAUUUAUGGUUCGUCCAUGUUUGGAAGCUCUCCAAAGAGAUAGUCCAAAAUAAUGUUUCCAGAGAUAGAGUAGGACCUCCACCUGGCAUGUGGAAACAACAGUGCAUUUCCCCCGUCCCCCUUAAUCCUAUGCUUCAGAAAAGCACACAGACUACAUCUGGUGGAUUGAUAUGGAGCAAAGAAGUCCCAGUCCUAACCACAACUGAUUUGACAUUAAAAGCUAUUUUUAAAUAUUGAA
Molecule: long non-coding RNA, 564 nt
Organism: Tympanuchus pallidicinctus (lesser prairie-chicken)
Lineage: Eukaryota; Metazoa; Chordata; Aves; Galliformes; Phasianidae
Exons: 2
Source: RefSeq, a predicted model, not a curated record